RNAcentral lists this long non-coding RNA (455 nucleotides) under Homo sapiens (human). RNAcentral's name for it is "non-protein coding lnc-ATP12A-2:1". Lineage: Eukaryota; Metazoa; Chordata; Mammalia; Primates; Hominidae. The record is from RNAcentral.
CCAGAUUCUCUUCAGCAAUAUCAUCACUUGAAGCCUAAGGUUGAAAUGAAAGAGUGUGUUUCGAACCAGGCAGUCGGAAUGAAAGAUGUACAAGCAUGCACAUCAGCUUUUUCAGCUUUGGAUUUUAAUAGUUUGACCUUCAGUAAUGAGCUUCAUGAAAGAUCUGAGAAUUUGAAAGUUGGUGAUCUAUGUCCAUUUGUGUCUCCACCAAUGACCAACACUGUGUUGGGAUCCACAGACUUGGGGAAGAUGAACUUAAUAGAUUAAGAAAAGAUGACCACUGCAGCUGCAUUUCUAUUUUGGAAUCACACUCUCCGUGACCUGUGUGAGUCACAGCUACCAGAAAACAAAGACAGCAAAGAAGGUAAUAAAGAAGCAUAGAGAAUUCAGUCCCAGUGUAGCUGUACUUGGCUUCAUAAUACCAUAGUUGUAACUUUUAAAGAAUCAUUUUGUGG